AACGAACGCUGGCGGCAGGCUUAACACAUGCAAGUCGAACGAGCUGGGGGCUUCGGCCCCCGAUGCUAGUGGCGCACGGGUGAGUAACACGUGGGAAUAUGCCCUUUAGUACGGAAUAACCAAGGGAAACUUUGGCUAAUACCGUAUACGCCUUCGGGGAAGGAUUUAUCGCUAAAGGAUUAGCCCGCGUCUGAUUAGGUAGUUGGUGAGGUAAUGGCUCACCAAGCCGACGAUCAGUAGCUGGUCUGAGAGGAUGAUCAGCCACACUGGGACCGAGACACGGCCCAGACUCCUACGGGAGGCAGCAGUGGGGAAUAUUGGACAAUGGGGGCAACCCUGAUCCAGCCAUGCCGCGUGAGUGAAGAAGGCCUCGGUUGUAAGCUCUUUCGACGGGGACGGAUGAUGACGGUACCC
RNAcentral lists this ribosomal RNA (414 nucleotides) under uncultured bacterium. Its description in RNAcentral is "bacterial SSU rRNA". It matches the Rfam family "Bacterial small subunit ribosomal RNA", at positions 29 to 480 of the family's 1533-position model. The record is from RNAcentral.